Molecule: ribosomal RNA, 432 nt
Filed under: uncultured bacterium
Lineage: Bacteria
Description: partial 16S ribosomal RNA
Rfam family: Bacterial small subunit ribosomal RNA
Source: RNAcentral
AACGAACGCUGGCGGCAUGCCUAACACAUGCAAGUCGAACGAGACCUUCGGGUCUAGUGGCGCACGGGUGCGUAACGCGUGGGAACCUGCCCUUAGGUUCGGAAUAACUCCCCGAAAGGGGUGCUAAUACCGGAUAAUGUCUUCGGACCAAAGAUUUAUCGCCUUUGGAUGGGCCCGCGUUGGAUUAGCUAGUUGGUAGGGUAAAAGCCUACCAAGGCGACGAUCCAUAGCUGGUCUGAGAGGAUGAUCAGCCACACUGGGACUGAGACACGGCCCAGACUCCUACGGGAGGCAGCAGUGGGGAAUAUUGGACAAUGGGCGAAAGCCGGAUCCAGCAAUGCCGCGUGAGUGAUGAAGGCCUUAGGGUUGUAAGCUCUUUUACCCGGGAUGAUAAUGACAGUACCGGGAGAAUAAGCGCCGGCUAACUCCGUG